RNAcentral lists this ribosomal RNA (253 nucleotides) under uncultured bacterium. Its description in RNAcentral is "partial 16S ribosomal RNA". It matches the Rfam family "Bacterial small subunit ribosomal RNA", at positions 524 to 776 of the family's 1533-position model. The record is from RNAcentral.
UACGUAGGGUGCAAGCGUUGUCCGGAAUUAUUGGGCGUAAAGGGCUCGUAGGCGGUCUGUCGCGUCGAAAGUGAAAACUCAGGGCUUAACCCUGAGCCUGCUUCCGAUACGGGCAGACCAGAGGUAUGCAGGGGAGAACGGAAUUCCUGGUGUAGCGGUGAAAUGCGCAGAUAUCAGGAGGAACACCGGUGGCGAAGGCGGUUCUCUGGGCAUUACCUGACGCUGAGGAGCGAAAGUGUGGGGAGCGAACAGG